Long non-coding RNA from Salvelinus sp. IW2-2015, 444 nucleotides. RefSeq lists it as uncharacterized. The record is from RefSeq and is a predicted model, not a curated record. Lineage: Eukaryota; Metazoa; Chordata; Actinopteri; Salmoniformes; Salmonidae.
ACAACCACAGAGGAACAACAACCUCCUCCUCUGACAAACCUCACGACACACCAGAUUGCACCUGCACCUCCAACUACCCCCAAACAACUACUGAACUCACAACCAUGCCCACAAAUGUCAGUACAUACGGACCCACAACUACCACAGUGACACAACUACAACAGCACCCAACUACCACAGCACCCACAACUAUCACAGCACCCACAACUACACAGCACCCCAACUACAAAACUUUAAGUAAAAACCCAACCACCGAUCUCACAACCCAUAUUGUGGACAGUACAACAAAAAGCAGUGGCCUAGAUACGUUGUUGUACUGAGGAUAAAACUGUCCUCUCUGAUCCAACUAACAGAUGAUUACAUCAGAAACGUGGUGUUACAGCAGCUCCGUGUGGAACUGAUCAGAGGAGGGCUGCCAGGAGACUUCACGCUACGCCUGAUAGC